UGGUGUCCAUUGAGGACUGGGAGGCGUGGUCCAACUUCACUGGCAGCACGGAGAAGAUCCAGGUGGUGGGUGAUGACCUCACAGUGACCAAGGCCUGCAACUGCCUGCUGCUUAAAGUCAACAAGAUCGGCUCUGUGACGGAGUCUCUGGCCACGUGCAAGAUGGCCCAGUCCAGUGGUUGGGGAGUGAUGGUCGGCCAUCGCUCUGGGGAGACUGAGGACACCUUCAUUGCUGAUCUGGUGGUGGGCCUGUGCACUGGACAGGUUUGGGGCUGCCCAAAGGAAUCAUUGUUAUCAUGGAUUUUAAAUUAUAUUUGUUACAUUACAUUAUUGCUAUGUAAUUAAUGUUGCCCCUGUCUGUUUGUCCAAACUGGGGCUCCUUGCUGCUCUGAACGUCUGGCCAAGUACAACCAGAUUCUCAGUUUCCUCUCAGAACUGAAGAGGAAUUGGGAGACAAGGCUGUCUUUGCUGGGAAGAACUUCAGGAACCCGCUGGCUUAACUGAGUGCAAUGGGCACAUACUCAUUGGCAUAUAGGCACACACUUGCACAUAACAGUUUAGCAAACAUUCCAAUGAUUACUUGCAAAUGCUGAAGAAGUUUACGGAACAAACUGAGUUACACACACGUCAAGGCAGCUAGAAAGGUAUAUGAAGUUACACUUCAUGACCAUAGGUUUUGGUUACAUGCAUACAUUACCUACCCUAGUCUACAUGUAUUCUGCUGCCCUAGAAUCACAAGGUGUCUGUGUAGACUAGUUACUUACAAUUCUUUGUUGGGGGGGGCACAUUUGGAUUAGUGUGAGUUGCUAUUAUUACUAUUUAAAUAUAGAGCAAAAAUAAC
Oncorhynchus tshawytscha (Chinook salmon) is the source of this 840-nucleotide long non-coding RNA. The record is from Ensembl. Lineage: Eukaryota; Metazoa; Chordata; Actinopteri; Salmoniformes; Salmonidae.